UACCCCGCUGAAAUUAAGCAUAUCAGUAAGCGGAGGAAAAGAAACUAACCAGGAUUCUCUCAGUAACGGCGAGUGAACAGAGAACAGCCCAGCACCGAAGCCUACUUGCGUUUGUGAGCAAGGCAAUGUGGUGUUACGAUGUUUGCCUGGGGUGAUCAGUCCAUCCGAAGUCCAGCAUAGAUUAUGGCUCUGGAUGUUGCCCAAAGCGGGUGAAAGGCCCGUGCGGAUGGACGUCAGGCAUGUUGAUCGCCCUCAGAUGCAUUCAUUGUGGAGUCGGAUAGCUUGAGAAUGCUGUCCAAAGUGGGUGGUAAACUCCAUCCAAGGCUAAAUACUGGCACGAAUCCGAUAGCUUACAAGUACCGUGAGGGAAAGUUGAAAAGCACUCUGAAGAGAGAGUAAAUAGUACGUGAAGCCGCCUGUAUGGAAGCUGGUGGAGUCAAGCCGCAUGCUUGGGGAAUCAAGCCAGUGAUGGUUGUGUGGAUUGUGGAGCCGGAUGGCCGGCGGGCUUGCAAAUAGUCCGAUGGUUUAUUUCGUCCCGUGAGCGUACAGGUUGGUGCGUACGGGGCCGGUCAUCUUGGGCUUUCGUCACUGGUGUGUCUUCCUCUUUGCAGACAUCACGAUCGGUAGCACUGCUGACAUGGGGUGGUCGAACCGCCAGGGCGUGGGCUGAAGUUCACUCCUGGUGGGAUGGCAGUUGGCUUGCCUUGCAGCUUCGGCUGCCUGGUGGGUUCUUCUCGGCUGUGGCCGGCCGAUCACCUCGUUGUGCUUUCAGUCAUGCAGAGUACCGGUGUUGUGUGUGAGCUGGGUCUUUGUCUGGUGUCGUGUUGGCGAUGCUGGUGCGUUGCUGCGCAAGUGGUGCGUGCUAGUGUGCCUGCUGAUGCGGCGCUUGGCGAUAGCUUGGCUUGUGAAUCGUGGUGUUGUGGUAGACGUUCCUCCCGACCCGUCUUGAAACACGGACCAA
Molecule: ribosomal RNA, 961 nt
Filed under: Teraplectanum angustitubus
Lineage: Eukaryota; Metazoa; Platyhelminthes; Monogenea; Dactylogyridea; Diplectanidae
Description: eukaryotic LSU rRNA
Rfam family: Eukaryotic large subunit ribosomal RNA
Source: RNAcentral